UCUGGGAGGACCGGGACGGUGGUUGAGGGCCAGCCCAGACAGAUGCAAAGAGAAGGGUCUCGGACGUAUCCAGGAAGACAAGGGUAGGACGUCGAAUCCUGCAGUCUACUUAGCUGAAAGACAAGGAGCUUCCGCCACAGGGGGCAGAAGAGCUUAGAGACGCUCCAGAGGGUCGUCAGCAUCGACUUCCCUGCCCCGAACUUGCCUCCACCCCAAGAACCGACGAUGGCCGGGCCCCCAGACAGAAAAAGAACAAGACAGAAAAAAAAAAUUCAGUAAAACCAGCAAGCAUGUAAGAAAAUCUGAUGUUAUAGGCAAUAUUGCACAGCUUUGGGAACCUAUUUCUCUACAGGAGUAGCAGAGGAAAAUUCUGGAAGAGAUAACAAGAAAUGACUGAUAAACAAAUUCAAGUUCCAAAAAGAAAUGGAGGAAAUGAUAACA
Molecule: long non-coding RNA, 441 nt
Organism: Sarcophilus harrisii (Tasmanian devil)
Lineage: Eukaryota; Metazoa; Chordata; Mammalia; Dasyuromorphia; Dasyuridae
Exons: 4
Source: RefSeq, a predicted model, not a curated record